This 656-nucleotide ribosomal RNA is filed under the name bacterium LB-150. RNAcentral's name for it is "bacterial SSU rRNA". It matches the Rfam family "Bacterial small subunit ribosomal RNA", at positions 779 to 1434 of the family's 1533-position model. The record is from RNAcentral.
UAGAUACCCUGGUAGUCCACGCUGUAAACGAUGUCGACUUGGAGGUUGUGCCCUUGAGGCGUGGCUUCCGGAGCUAACGCGUUAAGUCGACCGCCUGGGGAGUACGGCCGCAAGGUUAAAACUCAAAUGAAUUGACGGGGGCCCGCACAAGCGGUGGAGCAUGUGGUUUAAUUCGAUGCAACGCGAAGAACCUUACCUACUCUUGACAUCCACGGAAUUCGCCAGAGAUGGCUUAGUGCCUUCGGGAACCGUGAGACAGGUGCUGCAUGGCUGUCGUCAGCUCGUGUUGUGAAAUGUUGGGUUAAGUCCCGCAACGAGCGCAACCCUUAUCCUUUGUUGCCAGCACGUAAUGGUGGGAACUCAAAGGAGACUGCCGGUGAUAAACCGGAGGAAGGUGGGGAUGACGUCAAGUCAUCAUGGCCCUUACGAGUAGGGCUACACACGUGCUACAAUGGCAUAUACAAAGAGAAGCGAACUCGCGAGAGCAAGCGGACCUCAUAAAGUAUGUCGUAGUCCGGAUUGGAGUCUGCAACUCGACUCCAUGAAGUCGGAAUCGCUAGUAAUCGUAGAUCAGAAUGCUACGGUGAAUACGUUCCCGGGCCUUGUACACACCGCCCGUCACACCAUGGGAGUGGGUUGCAAAAGAAGUAGGUAGC